Molecule: RNase P RNA, 347 nt
Filed under: Methylotenera sp.
Lineage: Bacteria; Pseudomonadati; Pseudomonadota; Betaproteobacteria; Nitrosomonadales; Methylophilaceae
Description: RNase P RNA component class A
Rfam family: Bacterial RNase P class A
About the family: Ribonuclease P (RNase P) is a ubiquitous endoribonuclease, found in archaea, bacteria and eukarya as well as chloroplasts and mitochondria.
Source: RNAcentral
GAAGCUGGCUAGACAGUCGCCGCUCACAUUUAACUUGCCAGUUUACUGGAUUAGUUAAUGAGAGGGGAGGAAAGUCCGGGCUGCAUAGAGCGGGAUGACGGUUAAUGGCCGUCCGUUGAAAGCCGCAAGGUAUAAGGCGAGGAAUAGGGCCACAGAGACGAGCGUAUUAAGUUACGGUGAAACGCGGUAACCUCCAUUCGCAGCAAGACCAAAUAGGCUGGUAUUGGCGUGGCUCGCGCUGCCAGCGGGUAGGUUGCUUGAGCGUGCAAGUAAUUGUACGCCUAGAUGAAUGACUGUCAUGCGUUGCAAAACGCAAACAGAACCCGGCUUAUCGGCCAGCUUCACUC